Oxyura jamaicensis (ruddy duck) is the source of this 3457-nucleotide long non-coding RNA. RefSeq lists it as uncharacterized. The transcript is spliced from 6 exons. The record is from RefSeq and is a predicted model, not a curated record. Lineage: Eukaryota; Metazoa; Chordata; Aves; Anseriformes; Anatidae.
UAGGAGAGAGGGCAAGGAAGGCUGCUAAGGUCUUUGGCAUUUAUGGCCAAGUGUUUACUGUGGCUUUGCUCUUCUUUGUGUUAGCAGAGUACCAUCAUUUUAAAUGAUUUUUCACAGGUUGAUAAGGCUGCAGUUUGCAGACCGCAUUGCCCACCGCCCUGAACAGAGGAAUCAUAAAUCCCAGCUCCUUUCAGUGUCCCUUGCCUCCAGUUUCUGCCUCCUGGGACAUGGCCAUUUAUAAUGACAAAACAACACGAAUUGCCUUUCUUCUUUCUUUGUACUGCAAUAAAGGAGAACAUAGAUAAAGCAGCAUUGUUCUUCUGUCUGAUGAUGGACCAUGUGGUGAAGGACAAAGCUCCAGUUUCCAUGGCAUCCUAAAAACUUCAGAGCUAUCGUACUUCAGAUAUUGAUGGAGCCUUGUAUGACAGAUGGAUGGUUCAGAACCUUUAUUUACUGGGAUUUCAAACACAGCUCAAAAUCUGGAGCCUUCUAAACACAGAUGUUUCUCUGGGUUUGUUGGCUUUAUUUGGAGUUGUUGCACCUGGAGGACUUUUCUAUCUGACCUUCUCCCAUGGUGGCUUUAUGACUGUCCCCAUCUUCUCAAGCACAUAACCCCUUUCUGACAUCCUAUAACGAAAUGGGAUCAGAGGGCAAUCUGGGCAGAAAAGCUAGCAGCAUGGAAAACAGCUUGCUAAAAUUGCCAAAACCUCACAGACUUGUUCUCUGUUGGUCUUCACCACUCCUCCUCCUCUCCCAGUGGUGUGUCUGGAGCUGGUGACAAGCAGGCGAUUGCAGUGAUGGCAACAUUUUGCUGCCUGAGAGCUUCUAACUGUUAGGCCAUUUAGGACAUAGCAUGACCCUAAGGAGAGGUGUCCACAGCAGCAGUCUUCCCUCAGGCACAUUGGCUCACAAGGGGAAAUUUCUCAGCAAUGCAUGGGCUUAAAAUCUGUGAUUUCUCUUUUCUGUGUCAAGCAGCAUGUGUUGCUGAAGUUUUGGGGCAUAUCUAGUAUCUGGAGCCAUUCAGCUUAGUGCAGUCAAAUCUGAAUUAGAUCACCCGUGGUCAUCGCCAAGUAGGAAAAGUUCUGCACAGGCCAAGAAUUUCUAAAAUAUUAGCAUUUUGCAUAGCAGAAAUUACUGCUAGGUUUUCCUCCUAGUAAAUAAACAUAUAAACAAUGAAACACAAUAUCUUGGGACAUCAGGUCACUUCAGAGUAACUUUCCAUGGUCUUAUUUGAGUUUCUAGUUUUCUGAGAAGUUAUUAUAACCUUCCCUAUGCAUGAUGAAUAGGAAAGUCCCAGCCCAGGUGAAUCAGCUGCCUGAACACCCAUCUGUCAGCAAAAUCAAAAUAAAUGUACACUUGUAGGGAAACUCAUCAUAAUCCUUAUGUCCUUUGCCACAGAGAGCUGACAUGAAGCCUGAUUCUUCGAGACUGCAGGAUGUUUAUAAUAACCUCCUUGUUUCCAGGCAGGCAGCUUUUUUUUUUCUUUUUUUUUUUUCUUUUUUUUUUUUUUUUCCCCAGUAAUAUAUAUCUCAAUGGCUAAAUGCUGCUUUAAGCAUGAUCAAGACAAGGCUUAAUGGCAAUAUAACCUUUAAAAUCAUCAAGUAAGGGGAACAAUACAUGUCCAAAGAAGAUGAAAGUUCUAAAAGUGAGCUGUGAGAUGAGGUCCUUAAUCAGGAUCUUAAUUAGGAACCUUAAUAAUUUAGGGUCCCUGUGCAACUUGUCUGCUUCUCUGCUUAGUAGGAGGGGGAAGAAAUUCAAAGGAUUUCAUGCCACAGGGCAAUCUGUGCUCAGAUUACAUGAUGGCUUUGCUGCGUCUUUUCCUUCCCCUUCCCAGCUUUCCAUAUCAUUGUCAGCUGUGUCCAGGUGUGUCCACCUUCCCUCAAUACCCACAAAUUAUUUCUUCUCUCAUAAGGUUAACCAAUUCACUGUCCUGCUGUUCUGUAUUUCUCUGUAGUCAUUGGACAAAAUCUGUUUAUAGGAUGGGCUCAUGACACUAACAGAACAGGAUGGGCAUGAGAAAUCCUCCCAGCUGAGGAAGAAAUCACUGUGGGACUAAGUGCUCAGCUGGUUUUCAGCACACAUCUUCCCUUGGACCAGCUGUGAAGUCUUGGCUCUGGGCUGUGCUACCUGCAAACACGAUGGAUCUGCCCCAUCACAGGCUCCGUGUAUAGGGCCUGCAAUGACCUGGACAUCUGGGUGAUGGGACAUCUGCAAUGAGGGGACAUCUGGAGCAGGAAACUCUGUCCUGAAGGCCUUUCCUUGGAGCAACUGCAGUUUUUCCUGGAUCAGACCAAUCUCUUGGCCUCCUGAUUUCCCCUGGAGACUCAAGUCACCCUCUUUGCUCCCUUGUUUGUGUUGUCUGAGGUGUGGAAGAUGCUGAGGAAAGUCAGAAAAUGCAGAGCUGCAUCUGUUCCCAACCCUCUCUAGGGAUGCACAUGCAAGCUUAGAGGGAGAGGGCAGCUGGAGAGCUUGCACGGCCACUUUACUGGUUGACCUCAAUGUGGUGUGGUUCUCCUUGGCCACAAGAAUUUAAAUGGGGAGGAGAGAUCCUGCCAGAAUAACCUGGGGCAAAGACAGACACCCAAGAAUGUGCCAAGCCAAGCAGUGUGGGAUAGCAGCAAAGCAUCUGCCAGCAGAGAGCACUGGGAGCCCACUCUCUCACUGCAACCCAGUAAGAACGAGCAGUCCACAAAGUAAAGUAAUGUGUGAUCCAAGGAGGCUUAACUACAGCCCAUGGAGCUGGGUGAGAAGCAGGUUGGAUGUGUAAGGCAUUUUAGCAUAAACCAGCCGCGGCUGUUGUUGAUAUUGCUUCCUACGAUCCGUCACAAUGAGGUUGUGGUUGAGUAAUUCAGCAAAAGCUCCAGUGCUUCUCACAAAACAGAAAUCAACCAUCGCUGGGUAUUAAUGGAGUGAGAAAAGUAAUUAAGUCUAAUUUCAAAUGUCUCAGCCAAUUAAGUAACAGAUGUGAGAAAAGCUGUGUAAUUUAGCUCUGCUCAUCAAAAAUGAAAUUGUCCACAUUUACAAACCUCAUGCUGAGCCCCUGGGAGGCUUAGGCAAGGCUCAUUUGAGGAAACACACAGGUUGUGUAAAGGUGUCAAGAUCAAGUGCACCUUCUGUUUUUCUUGUUCAUAAAAUUGUGUCUUUCAGGUUUUAAUGCUUCAAAUCUCAGCUCUGCCCUCAGGCAUUCCCAGGAAACCAAGCUGAGCCUGGCCAAACCAAGAGCUGUCAGUGGGACUGAGAAGAAGCCUUCAAUUCAUAAAUGGGAAAUACGCUCCUCAAAAGGCAGGGUGUAAGCUCAACCUGCCAGAGCCCACCUCACCAUUUGCCCUGAGCCAACAUUUACAGCAGUGUUUGCAAAUGUGGGACCUGAUCCGGAUUUUGAAUGUGCAUGAGCUUCAUGUGCAAUUGUCGCAAAGAAUUUUAUUGAGUUAUGUGGGAGUCAGGCUCACAUAAGUAA